UACGUAGGGUGCGAGCGUUGUCCGGAAUUAUUGGGCGUAAAGGGCUCGUAGGCGAUUUGUCGCGUCGGGAGUGAAAACACCGGGCUUAACUCGGUGCUUGCUUUCGAUACGGGCAGACUAGAGGUAUGCAGGGGAGAACGGAAUUCCUGGUGUAGCGGUGAAAUGCGCAGAUAUCAGGAGGAACACCGGUGGCGAAGGCGGUUCUCUGGGCAUUACCUGACGCUGAGGAGCGAAAGUGUGGGGAGCGAACAGG
Molecule: ribosomal RNA, 253 nt
Filed under: uncultured bacterium
Lineage: Bacteria
Description: partial 16S ribosomal RNA
Rfam family: Bacterial small subunit ribosomal RNA
Source: RNAcentral